This 86-nucleotide transfer RNA is filed under the name Marispirochaeta aestuarii. It matches the Rfam family "tRNA". Rfam says of the family: Transfer RNA (tRNA) molecules are approximately 80 nucleotides in length. Lineage: Bacteria; Pseudomonadati; Spirochaetota; Spirochaetia; Spirochaetales; Spirochaetaceae. The record is from Rfam by way of RNAcentral.
GCCGGAGUGGUGAAAUUGGUAGACACCGGGGACUUAAAAUCCCCCGGGCUUAAUAAGCCCGUACCGGUUCAAGUCCGGUCUCCGGC